RNAcentral lists this ribosomal RNA (263 nucleotides) under uncultured bacterium. Its description in RNAcentral is "partial 16S ribosomal RNA". It matches the Rfam family "Bacterial small subunit ribosomal RNA", at positions 793 to 1055 of the family's 1533-position model. The record is from RNAcentral.
GUCCACGCCGUAAACGAUUGGUGCUAGGUGUGGGGGGUGUCGACUCCCUCCGUGCCGAAGCUAACGCAUUAAGCACCCCGCCUGGGGAGUACGGCCGCAAGGCUAAAACUCAAAGGAAUUGACGGGGGCCCGCACAAGCAGCGGAGCAUGUGGUUUAAUUCGACGCAACGCGAAGAACCUUACCAGGGCUUGACAUGCACUGGAAUGUCGUAGAAAUAUGGCAGCCCUUCGGGGCCAGUGCACAGGUGGUGCAUGGCUGUCGU